UACGGAGGGUCCAAGCGUUAAUCGGAAUUACUGGGCGUAAAGCGCGCGUAGGCGGUUAGUUUAGCGAGAUGUGAAAUACCUGGGCUUAACCUGGGAAUUGCGUUUCGAACUGGCUAACUAGAGUGCAGUAGAGGGUGGUGGAAUUUCCAGUGUAGCGGUGAAAUACGUAGAGAUUGGAAGGAACAUCAGUGGCGAAGGCGACCACCUGGACUGACACUGACGCUGAGGUGCGAAAGCGUGGGUAGCAAACAGG
RNAcentral lists this ribosomal RNA (253 nucleotides) under uncultured bacterium. Its description in RNAcentral is "partial 16S ribosomal RNA". It matches the Rfam family "Bacterial small subunit ribosomal RNA", at positions 524 to 776 of the family's 1533-position model. The record is from RNAcentral.